UGGGGAAUUUUGGACAAUGGGCGAAAGCCUGAUCCAGCAAUGCCGCGUGUGUGAAGAAGGCCUUCGGGUUGUAAAGCACUUUUGUCCGGAAAGAAAUGGCUCUGGUUAAUACCUGGGGUCGAUGACGGUACCGGAAGAAUAAGGACCGGCUAACUACGUGCCAGCAGCCGCGGUAAUACGUAGGGUCCAAGCGUUAAUCGGAAUUACUGGGCGUAAAGCGUGCGCAGGCGGUUGUGCAAGACCGAUGUGAAAUCGCCGAGCUUAACUUGGGAAUUGCAUUGGUGACUGCACGGCUAGAGUGUGUCAGAGGGGGGUAGAAUUCCACGUGUAGCAGUGAAAUGCGUAGAGAUGUGGAGGAAUACCGAUGGCGAAGGCAGCCCCCUGGGAUAACACUGACGCUCAUGCACGAAAGCGUGGGGAGCAAACAGG
RNAcentral lists this ribosomal RNA (429 nucleotides) under Bacillota bacterium. RNAcentral's name for it is "Firmicutes bacterium partial 16S ribosomal RNA". It matches the Rfam family "Bacterial small subunit ribosomal RNA", at positions 355 to 776 of the family's 1533-position model. The record is from RNAcentral. Lineage: Bacteria; Bacillati; Bacillota.